Molecule: ribosomal RNA, 755 nt
Filed under: Triticum aestivum (bread wheat)
Lineage: Eukaryota; Viridiplantae; Streptophyta; Magnoliopsida; Poales; Poaceae
Description: partial small subunit ribosomal RNA
Source: RNAcentral
CUCCGCAAAGGGUGUUCUACUCUGUCACUCUACGUCAGGCGGUGUACCCCGGUAGCGGCAGCGAUCGCCGUUCAUCCCCAGGUAGCGCCUAUCGUGCCGGGCGCAGGCCGUACAGGUUCGGGGCGGGAUUCGAUACCGUCGACGACGGUACGGAUAGGAGGGGAGUUAAGCUCGAGCCUUUGCUGAGUGUGUUCUACUCUAACGCCACACGGCAAGCCCCGGCAGCGGCAGCGGCCUCCGUUCCGCUCUCGAUAACUCCCAUCGUGGCGAACGCAGGCCGCGUGGACAUGGACUCGGGUCUGACACCGUCGACGAGGUACGGCGUCAAGGGGCGAUUUGUUGUAGCACACGCCCCCGCCAGACGACCAUGUAGCUCUAUGUCCCCCUCGAGCACGUCUGAGUGAACUUCAAACCUCGAGCUACGUUCGAGUGUCGGUCUCUAAGUUCCGCGUUGUUGCAUCGAUACCUACUACUUCACGGUGCUCGACGAAGGUACGAGUUCUUGUGUCACCUACGUACGACUAGGUGCCUCUCUCGUUAAAACAUCGUUAGGACCAGAUAACACACUAGAUCCCCCGUUGUAACUGUUACAUCAUCUACCCGUCCUCUUUCCUACAUCGGGCCUUCUAUAAAACCGUCAUUAGACAACAAUGUGUCCUCUUUUUUUCACAAAACGACUAAUAGAGCUUAUUUAAUCUCUAGAUGCGACUAAUACGUACGAGUUCUUAGGAAAUUGUGCACGUACACCAAGGAGA